CAAUAGCGUAUAUUAAAGUUGUUGCGGUAAAAAAGCUCGUAGUUGGAUUUCUACCGAAGAUAGCCGGUCGGGUCUUCGACCUUGUAUCUGGUUUUGUCUUUGGUAUCCUCAUAGGGAACGUUUCUGCGCUUUAUUGCGUGGUGCGGUAUCUAUGACUUUUACUUUGAGGAAAUUAGAGUGUUCACGGAAGGCAAACGCCUUGAAUAUAUUAGCAUGGAAUAAUAACAUAGGAUCUUCGUCCUAUUUUGUUGGUUUCUAGGGCUAAGAUAAUGAUUAAUAGGGAUAAUUGGGGGCAUCUGUAUCAACGCGUCAGAGGUGGAAUUCUUGGAUUGCGUUGCGACAAACUACUGCGAAAGCAUUUGCCAAGGAUGUUUUCAUUGA
This 381-nucleotide ribosomal RNA is filed under the name uncultured eukaryote. RNAcentral describes it as "partial 18S ribosomal RNA". It matches the Rfam family "Eukaryotic small subunit ribosomal RNA", at positions 592 to 976 of the family's 1831-position model. The record is from RNAcentral.